This 474-nucleotide ribosomal RNA is filed under the name uncultured organism. Its description in RNAcentral is "partial 16S ribosomal RNA". It matches the Rfam family "Bacterial small subunit ribosomal RNA", at positions 335 to 800 of the family's 1533-position model. The record is from RNAcentral.
ACUCCUGCGGGAGGCAGCAGUGGGGAAUUUUGGACAAUGGGCGAAAGCCUGAUCCAGCAAUGCCGCGUGAGUGAAGAAGGCCUUCGGGUUGUAAAGCUCUUUUGUCAGGGAAGAAACGGUGAAAGCUAAUAUCUUUUGCUAAUGACGGUACCUGAAGAAUAAGCACCGGCUAACUACGUGCCAGCAGCCGCGGUAAUACGUAGGGUGCAAGCGUUAAUCGGAAUUACUGGGCGUAAAGCGUGCGCAGGCGGUUUUGUAAGUCUGAUGUGAAAUCCCCGGGCUCAACCUGGGAAUUGCAUUGGAGACUGCAAGGCUAGAAUCUGGCAGAGGGGGGUAGAAUUCCACGUGUAGCAGUGAAAUGCGUAGAUAUGUGGAGGAACACCGAUGGCGAAGGCAGCCCCCUGGGUCAAGAUUGACGCUCAUGCACGAAAGCGUGGGGAGCAAACAGGAUUAGAUACCCGGGUAGUCCCAUGA